UCGGGCGAACUAGAGUAGGGGGCUUCAUCACCAAUAGAGCUCCGGACCACCUGGACCAUCUCUCUUCCUGUAGUAUUUUCUCGUGCUUGAGCUCCGUUUUCUAUGGAGCCAUAUUUUUCCUCCUCGUUGCGAUGUAGCAACCUAGUGCUACAAACAGCUCGUUAGACAGCGGGGUGUAGCUUUCGUAUUCUUUUUUUUUGCCGUUAGAAGCAAGGACUUUAACCUUUGUUAUUCUGGCUGUUGCAGCGGGGGUUGUAGUUCCAUUUGGUCCCUGAAUUUAGGCGGCAGGUUGGAAUCGAAGCCCUGGUGGUUCUUGCUACGAGUUGACAUCUACCUUCUGCGAUGCAAAAUGCAAAACUAGAUCUCUGGAGGUCUAGCAAAUUUGGUUGUAGAAGGCAGCAUCGUUGGCAAGGCGGCUGCUGGUCUGGUUGGGAGUUGCAAAAUUAUGAGUCUUGUAGUGGCAUGCGAAAGAUUUAGAUCUUCCAACGGGCCAGAAGGCGGUGGUCUAGUGAUGUUGCAAAACUGCAACACGUCGACAUCAAGCUUGAUAAAUUGCCGUCAAGAGCCUCGGCAUCAUUUACUCUAUUCACUUCUCUUUUCCGUGUAAUUUGUCGGGGCGAUUGGAGCUUCUGUGCUUUUUUCUUACGACAUUCCAUUCCAUUGAUAGAGCCUAGAAACUCUUGUUCUUAGGCAAUGAAGUUAUAGUUGGCAAGACCUAGUGCUAAUCACGGAAUUUUGUCCAAGUACAAUAGGCUGCUUCCGUAUAAUACAAACACUUGUUUCUUUUUUCUUGGUCAAGCCAAAGAUAAUUCAAUUAAGUGAUAACUGUGCAUCUCUAAAGGAUCUUGAUGAAUCUUCAUUGCUACAAAUGCAUUGGAGCAGGGUUUUCAUUGAAUUAAUCGCUCCAAAAUAGAGUAUUGCUGUUCUCUCAUGAAUGCGGAUUGUUGAGACUCGAGUGGAGCAGUAAGCGAGUGCGAGCUUGGAAUUUAAUCUCCAAAGAAGUGUCAACCACUUGCUGAUAAAGGAAGGUACUUGGCAAGGCGUGGAGGUGGUUGAAGGUACCAACUAAGAACUUGAGCUGGGACGUUGAGGACACCCGACACACUCACAACAUGAUCGUGUAGGAAGUUAUCGAUAGUGGAAAUCAAGAGCAGGCUCAGUGUGUGCCGAAGGAGGAGCAUAAGCAUCGCAGUUCCAUUCGACAACUUUGAAUCCGCAUCCAGAGUAGAGCAGGAAUGAAUUCGCAAGAUUGUGUUGGGGGAAGAGAGCACUCGGUGAACAAAAAAUGGGCUCUUCUUCAAAGUCCGUGGUCAGUAGCAUAUUGCAAGCUCAUUCUUCAUCCUGGUAUAAUAUCAGCACAUGAGUCAAGCUACGAGGGCUCUCCUUGAUAACAAUCUUCAGGGAUAGAAGGUAGUGUGGUCAACAAUGGCUUCCUUGUUAAGUUGGUUGUCCUUCAAUUAGAGCUAGGAUUUAGAAGGAAUAUUAGAAUUAGAAUUAGGUAGAUAGAAUCAAGUCAUCAAAUCACCAAUUCAGCCAUUGCUUAUUUUGCCAUCAUUAUAAAAGUUCUAUGGUGGUGCUUCGGAGCAUCUUCCGAGGGCUUCCAUCACCGAGGUUCGACAGUAGGAAAGCUCAGCAAGAAAUCAUAAGAAGAGCUCAAAACAUUCAAGUGCCACACCUCAUUGGUUUUAAAUUAUAAAUUUUUAUUGAA
This is a non-coding RNA of Physcomitrium patens, 1708 nucleotides long. The record is from RefSeq and is a predicted model, not a curated record. NCBI's taxonomy places the organism in Eukaryota, Viridiplantae, Streptophyta, Bryopsida, Funariales, Funariaceae.